GAUGAACGCUGACAGAAUGCUUAACACAUGCAAGUCGAUUCGAUUUACCUUCGGGUAUUGAGGAUGGCGGACGGGUGAGUAACGCGUAAGGAACUUGCCUCUUGGUCUGGGACAACUGUUGGAAACGACAGCUAAUACCGGAUAUUAUGAGAUUCUCGCAUGGGAAACUUAUGAAAGCUAUAUGCGCCAAGAGAGAGCCUUGCGUUCCAUUAGCUAGUUGGUGGGGUAACGGCCCACCAAGGCGACGAUGGAUAGCCGGCCUGAGAGGGUGAACGGCCACAAGGGGACUGAGACACGGCCCUUACUCCUACGGGAGGCAGCAGUGGGGAAUAUUGGACAAUGGGCCACAAGCCUGAUCCAGCAAUUCUGUGUGCACGAUGAAGGUCUUCGGAUUGUAAAGUGCUUUCAGUUGGGAAGAAGAAAGUGACGGUACCAACAGAAGAAGCGACGGCUAAAUACGUGCCAGCAGCCGCGGUAAUACGUAUGUCGCAAGCGUUAUCCGGAUUUAUUGGGCGUAAAGCGCGUCUAGGCGGAAAAAUAAGUCUGANGUUAAAAUGCGGGGCUCAACUCCGUAUUGCGUUGGAAACUGUUUUUCUAGAGUACUGGAGAGGUGGGCGGAACUACNAGUGUAGAGGUGAAAUCGUAGA
RNAcentral lists this ribosomal RNA (647 nucleotides) under uncultured prokaryote. RNAcentral's name for it is "bacterial SSU rRNA". It matches the Rfam family "Bacterial small subunit ribosomal RNA", at positions 28 to 694 of the family's 1533-position model. The record is from RNAcentral.